RNAcentral lists this ribosomal RNA (345 nucleotides) under uncultured Pseudomonadota bacterium. RNAcentral describes it as "bacterial SSU rRNA". It matches the Rfam family "Bacterial small subunit ribosomal RNA", at positions 29 to 351 of the family's 1533-position model. The record is from RNAcentral. Lineage: Bacteria; Pseudomonadati; Pseudomonadota.
AACGAACGCUGGCGGCGUGCUUAACACAUGCAAGUCGAGCGAGAAAGGGAGGGGCAACUCUCCUGAGUAAAGCGGCGCACGGGUGAGUAACGCGUGGGUAACCUACCUUCAGGCGGGGGAUAACUACUCGAAAGGGUGGCUAAUACCGCAUGAGACCACGGGGUCUUCGGAUCCUGAGGCCAAAGGCUGCAUCGGCUUGCCGGUGUAGUCACCAGGAGAUGGGCCCGCGUCCGAUUAGCUAGUUGGUGAGGUAAUGGCUCACCAAGGCUUCGAUCGGUAGCUGGUCUGAGAGGAUGAUCAGCCACACUGGAACUGAAACACGGUCCAGACUCCUACGGGAGGCAG